Molecule: small nucleolar RNA, 72 nt
Organism: Danio rerio (zebrafish)
Lineage: Eukaryota; Metazoa; Chordata; Actinopteri; Cypriniformes; Danionidae
Source: Ensembl
GUAUGAAGUGAUGCACGUCAUCUUUCGGGACUGACCUCUCAUGGAGAGAACAUUUCGACUUACUGAUCAUAC